AAACACUAAAACCUAAACUCUACACCAUAAAUCCCAAAACCUAAAAUCUUACCCCUAAACCCGAAAACCCUAAACCCUAAACCCUAAACCCUAAACCAUAAACCCUAAACCAUAAACUCUUAACCCUAAACCCUUAAACCUAAACCCUAAACUCUUAAACCUAAACCCUAAACCCUAAACCAUAGAUCCCAAACUUUAAAACCUAUGUCCUCCUUUAGGCUUCCAGAAUCCGAUUGCGGUUCUAGUUUUUAUGCUCAAUGAUACACAAAGCAUCUAGUCAUAUUUGACUACAAAUCCGCUAACCAAGCUUAUUCUUGAUUAUCAAAGUUUGAUAGUGAAGCCGAAUUCUUAUGAGUUUUUGGUUUUGAACAGUUUAACAAGGAAGCACUACUUUACUUUUCGGGAUCUGGUUGAGGUUCUAGUUUUAUAUACAAUCAUACACAUAACAUCUAGUCAUAUUUAACUCUGAAACGCUAACCUAGAUUCUUUUUGCUUCAUAAAGUA
This 504-nucleotide small RNA is filed under the name Arabidopsis thaliana (thale cress). RNAcentral's name for it is "ATSL037940". Lineage: Eukaryota; Viridiplantae; Streptophyta; Magnoliopsida; Brassicales; Brassicaceae. The record is from RNAcentral.